RNAcentral lists this transfer RNA (83 nucleotides) under bacterium. Its description in RNAcentral is "tRNA-Leu". It matches the Rfam family "tRNA". Rfam says of the family: Transfer RNA (tRNA) molecules are approximately 80 nucleotides in length. Their secondary structure includes four short double-helical elements and three loops (D, anti-codon, and T loops). Further hydrogen bonds mediate the characteristic L-shaped molecular structure. tRNAs have two regions of fundamental functional importance: the anti-codon, which is responsible for specific mRNA codon recognition, and the 3' end, to which the tRNAs corresponding amino acid is attached (by aminoacyl-tRNA synthetases). tRNAs cope with the degeneracy of the genetic code in two manners: having more than one tRNA (with a specific anti-codon) for a particular amino acid; and 'wobble' base-pairing, i.e. permitting non-standard base-pairing at the 3rd anti-codon position. The record is from RNAcentral.
GGGCACGUGGCGAAAUCGGUAAACGCAACGGACUUAAAAUUCGUCGGGUAACCUUGUGGGUUCGAGUCCCACCGUGCCUACCA